UACGAAGGGGGCUAGCGUUGCUCGGAAUGACUGGGCGUAAAGGGCGCGUAGGCGGCUCAUACAGUCAGAUGUGAAAUUCCUGGGCUUAACCUAGGGGCUGCAUUUGAUACGUGUGGGCUUGAGUGGGGAAGAGGGUCGUGGAAUUCCCAGUGUAGAGGUGAAAUUCGUAGAUAUUGGGAAGAACACCGGUGGCGAAGGCGGCGACCUGGUCCUUGACUGACGCUGAGGCGCGAAAGCGUGGGGAGCAAACAGG
This 253-nucleotide ribosomal RNA is filed under the name uncultured bacterium. RNAcentral describes it as "partial 16S ribosomal RNA". It matches the Rfam family "Bacterial small subunit ribosomal RNA", at positions 524 to 776 of the family's 1533-position model. The record is from RNAcentral.